AUACGGAGGGUGCAAGCGUUAUCCGGAUUCAUUGGGUUUAAAGGGUGCGCAGGCGGAAUGAUAAGUCAGUGGUGAAAUCCUACAGCUUAACUGUAGAACUGCCAUUGAUACUGUCAUUCUUGAGUACACUUGAAGUGGGCGGAAUGUAUCAUGUAGCGGUGAAAUGCAUAGAUAUGAUACAGAACUCCGAUAGCGAAGGCAGCUCACUAAAUUGUACCUGACGCUCAGGCACGAAAGCGUGGGGAGCAAACAGGAUUAGAUACCCCGGUAGUCC
This 274-nucleotide ribosomal RNA is filed under the name uncultured bacterium. RNAcentral's name for it is "partial 16S ribosomal RNA". It matches the Rfam family "Bacterial small subunit ribosomal RNA", at positions 523 to 796 of the family's 1533-position model. The record is from RNAcentral.